Molecule: ribosomal RNA, 387 nt
Filed under: uncultured bacterium
Lineage: Bacteria
Description: bacterial SSU rRNA
Rfam family: Bacterial small subunit ribosomal RNA
Source: RNAcentral
GACGAACGCUGGCGGCGUGCUUAACACAUGCAAGUCGAGCGGUAAGGCCCUUUCGGGGGUACGACGAGCGGCGAACGGGUGAGUAACACGUGGGUGACCUGCCCUCCAGCGUCUGGGAUAAGACCUGGGAAACCGGGUCUAAUACCGGAUAUGACUCCAUGACGCAUGUUGUGGGUGGAAAGCCUUGUGCGGCUGAGGAUGGGCCCGCGGCCUAUCAGCUUGUUGGUGGGGUGAGGCCUACCAAGGCGACGACGGGUAGCCGGCCUGAGAGGGCGACCGGCCACACUGGGACUGAGACACGGCCCAGACUCCUACGGGAGGCAGCAGUGGGGAAUCUUGCGCAAUGGGCGAAAGCCUGACGCAGCGACGCCGCGUGAGGGAUGACGG